GUGGGGAAUCUUGCGCAAUGGGCGAAAGCCUGAUCCAGCAAUGCCGCGUGCAGGAAGAAGGCCUUCGGGUUGUAAACUGCUUUUGUACGGAACGAAACGGUCCGGGUUAAUACCCUGGGCUAAUGACGGUACCGUAAGAAUAAGCACCGGCUAACUACGUGCCAGCAGCCGCGGUAAUACGUAGGGUGCAAGCGUUAAUCGGAAUUACUGGGCGUAAAGCGUGCGCAGGCGGUUUUGUAAGACAGGCGUGAAAUCCCCGGGCUCAACCUGGGAAUUGCGCUUGUGACUGCAAGGCUGGAGUGCGGCAGAGGGGGAUGGAAUUCCGCGUGUAGCAGUGAAAUGCGUAGAUAUGCGGAGGAACACCGAUGGCGAAGGCAAUCCCCUGGGCCUACACUGACGCUCAUGCACGAAAGCGUGGGGAGCAAACAGGAUUAGAAACCCGAGUAGUCC
RNAcentral lists this ribosomal RNA (450 nucleotides) under uncultured bacterium. RNAcentral's name for it is "partial 16S ribosomal RNA". It matches the Rfam family "Bacterial small subunit ribosomal RNA", at positions 354 to 796 of the family's 1533-position model. The record is from RNAcentral.